RNAcentral lists this microRNA precursor (140 nucleotides) under Picea abies (Norway spruce). RNAcentral describes it as "miR396u stem-loop (pab-MIR396u)". Its record names the gene pab-MIR396u. Lineage: Eukaryota; Viridiplantae; Streptophyta; Pinopsida; Pinales; Pinaceae. The record is from miRBase by way of RNAcentral.
UUCCGUCAUAUUUUUCCACAUGCUUUCUUGAACUUAGUGCUCAGGUGAUGUCUCAGAAGACGAAAUCGUGUUAAAGCGAUGUCUAACCCGAGCAGAUCUCUGUACAAAGCUCAAGAAAGCUGUGGGAAAAUAUGGAAGAA